UACGGAGGGGGCUAGCGUUGUUCGGAAUUACUGGGCGUAAAGCGCACGUAGGCGGCUUUGUAAGUUAGAGGUGAAAGCCCGGGGCUCAACUCCGGAAUUGCCGUUGAGACUGCAUCGCUAGAAUUGUGGAGAGGUAAGUGGAAUUCCGAGUGUAGAGGUGAAAUUCGUAGAUAUUCGGAAGAACACCAGUGGCGAAGGCGACUUGCUGGACACAUAUUGACGCUGAGGUGCGAAAGCGUGGGGAGCAAACAGG
This 253-nucleotide ribosomal RNA is filed under the name uncultured bacterium. RNAcentral's name for it is "partial 16S ribosomal RNA". It matches the Rfam family "Bacterial small subunit ribosomal RNA", at positions 524 to 776 of the family's 1533-position model. The record is from RNAcentral.